GUGCUUCAGCAGCACGUAUACUAAAAUUGGAAUGCUUCAGAGAAGAUUAGCAUGGCCCCUGUGCAAGGAUGACACACAAAUUUGUGAGGUGUUCCAUGUCUUU
This is a small nuclear RNA of Pongo abelii (Sumatran orangutan), 103 nucleotides long. The record is from Ensembl. NCBI's taxonomy places the organism in Eukaryota, Metazoa, Chordata, Mammalia, Primates, Hominidae.